GACGAACGCCGGCGGCGUGCCUAAUACAUGCAAGUGGGACGCAAGGGAACACACUGUGCUUGCACACCGUGUUUUCUUGAGUCGCGAACGGGCGAGUAACGCGUAGGUAACCUGCCUAUUAGCGGGGGAUAACUAUUGGAAACGAUAGCUAAUACCGCAUAAUAUUAAUUAUUGCAUGAUAAUUGAUUGAAAGAUGCAAGCGCAUCACUAGUAGAUGGACCUGCGUUGUAUUAGCUAGUUGGUAAGGUAAGAGCUUACCAAGGCGACGAUACAUAGCCGACCUGAGAGGGUGAUCGGCCACACUGGGACUGAGACACGGCCCAGACUCCUACGGGAGGCAGCAGUAGGGAAUCUUCGGCAAUGGACGAAAGUCUGACCGAGCAACGCCGCGUGAGUGAAGAAGGUUUUCGGAUCGUAAAGCUCUGUUGUAAGUCAAGAACGUGUGUGAGAGUGGAAAGUUCACACAGUGACGGAGCUACCAGAAAGGAC
Molecule: ribosomal RNA, 489 nt
Filed under: Streptococcus mutans
Lineage: Bacteria; Bacillati; Bacillota; Bacilli; Lactobacillales; Streptococcaceae
Description: bacterial SSU rRNA
Rfam family: Bacterial small subunit ribosomal RNA
Source: RNAcentral